Molecule: ribosomal RNA, 660 nt
Filed under: uncultured bacterium
Lineage: Bacteria
Description: bacterial SSU rRNA
Rfam family: Bacterial small subunit ribosomal RNA
Source: RNAcentral
AGUGGCGGACGGGUGAGUAACGCGUGAGAAUCUGCCUUGGGGUCGGGGACAACCACUGGAAACGGUGGCUAAUACCGGAUACGCCUUCGGGUAAAAGAUUUAUUGCCCUAAGAGGAGCUCGCGUCUGAUUAGCUAGUUGGUGAGGUAAGAGCUCACCAAGGCAGCGAUCAGUAGCUGGUCUGAGAGGACGAUCAGCCACACUGGGACUGAGACACGGCCCAGACUCCUACGGGAGGCAGCAGUGGGGAAUUUUCCGCAAUGGGCGAAAGCCUGACGGAGCAAGACCGCGUGAGGGAGGAAGGCUCUUGGGUUGUAAACCUCUUUUCUCAGGGAAGAAGCUCUGACGGUACCUGAAGAAUCAGCCUCGGCUAACUCCGUGCCAGCAGCCGCGGUAAUACGGAGGAGGCAAGCGUUAUCCGGAAUUAUUGGGCGUAAAGCGUCCGCAGGUGGCGAUUCAAGUCUGCUGUCAAAGCACGGGGCUUAACUCCGUAAAGGCAGUGGAAACUGAAUAGCUAGAGUGCCGUAGGGGUAGAGGGAAUUCCCGGUGUAGCGGUGAAAUGCGUAGAGAUCGGGAAGAACAUCGGUGGCGAAAGCGCUCUACUGGACGGCAACUGACACUCAGGGACGAAAGCUAGGGGAGCGAAUGGGAUUAGAUACCCC